GAUGAACGCUGGCGGCGUGCCUAAUACAUGCAAGUCGAGCGAACAGACGAGGAGCUUGCUCCUCUGACGUUAGCGGCGGACGGGUGAGUAACACGUGGAUAACCUACCUAUAAGACUGGGAUAACUUCGGGAAACCGGAGCUAAUACCGGAUAAUAUAUUGAACCGCGUGGUUCAAUAGUGAAAGACGGUUUUGCUGUCACUUAUAGAUGGAUCCGCGCCGCAUUAGCUAGUUGGUAAGGUAACGGCUUACCAAGGCAACGAUGCGUAGCCGACCUGAGAGGGUGAUCGGCCACACUGGAACUGAGACACGGUCCAGACUCAUACGGGAGGCAGCAGUAGGGAAUCUUCCGCAAUGGGCGAAAGCCUGACGGAGCAACGCCGCGUGAGUGAUGAAGGUCUUCGGAUCGUAAAACUCUGUUAUUAGGGAAGAACAAAUGUGUAAGUAACUAUGCACGUCUUGACGGUACCUAAUCAGAAAGCCACGGCUAACUACGUG
RNAcentral lists this ribosomal RNA (497 nucleotides) under uncultured bacterium. Its description in RNAcentral is "partial 16S ribosomal RNA". It matches the Rfam family "Bacterial small subunit ribosomal RNA", at positions 28 to 507 of the family's 1533-position model. The record is from RNAcentral.